RNAcentral lists this ribosomal RNA (237 nucleotides) under uncultured bacterium. RNAcentral's name for it is "partial 16S ribosomal RNA". It matches the Rfam family "Bacterial small subunit ribosomal RNA", at positions 118 to 347 of the family's 1533-position model. The record is from RNAcentral.
UGAGGAACAUGACCUUCGGCGGGGGAUAGCCGGGCCCAACGGCCGGGUAAUACCGCGUACGACCAUUUGGGGACAUCCCCGAGUGGUGAAAGCAGCAAUGCGCCGAUGGAGUGCCUCGCGGCCUAUCAGCUAGUUGGUGGGGUAACGGCUCACCAAGGCAACGACGGGUAGCUGGUCUGAGAGGAUGGCCAGCCACAUUGGGACUGAGACACGGCCCAGACUCCUACGGGAGNAGCG